UGUUCCUACGGGAGGCAGCAGUGAGGAAUAUUGGUCAAUGGGCGAGAGCCUGAACCAGCCAAGUCGCGUGAAGGAUGACGGCCCUAUGGGUUGUAAACUUCUUUUGUCAGGGAGCAAUUGGGUCCACGUGUGGGCUUAGCGAGAGUACCUGAAGAAAAAGCAUCGGCUAACUCCGUGCCAGCAGCCGCGGUAAUACGGAGGAUGCGAGCGUUAUCCGGAUUUAUUGGGUUUAAAGGGUGCGUAGGCGGGACCUUAAGUCAGCGGUAAAAUUGCGGUGCUCAACGCCGUAGAGCCGUUGAAAAUGG
RNAcentral lists this ribosomal RNA (305 nucleotides) under uncultured bacterium. Its description in RNAcentral is "bacterial SSU rRNA". It matches the Rfam family "Bacterial small subunit ribosomal RNA", at positions 334 to 636 of the family's 1533-position model. The record is from RNAcentral.